CUCAACACGCCGCCGCGCGCUAACGGCGCUAGCGGCGCCGAGGGUGUAGCUAGCAACAGCUGAGCGACGGCUCCUUUGUCACGAGCUGCCGCCGCUAACGCCGAGGAGUCACGAGGGUCAUUGUUCCCGCUCCCGCCGGAAAAUCUCCCCUCCUUCCUCUCCGCGCGCCGACGUCUGGGUUUCUCUCUUUUUAAUUUCCCAACCUCCAUCUGCUCAUCCAUCAAGCGGCGGCAGUUCGGUCAUUUUGCUCUAAAACUUCCAUCUCGCUCGCUCUGUCGUCCCUCUCCUUUCCCUCCCCCUCCUCCCCCCCGGCCUCGACAGUCUCAGCAGUUAUUAUCGGCCAAAUCACUACCAGAGUUUUCUUAAUCUUUUCGGGAACAGAAGGUUCAUUAACAGACGGGCUGUCAUCGCUGUAUGCGCUUUUGUUGCUUAAGAGGAGGAAGGGGCUUUGGUUGAAAAAAGUCGAGCGCUUUUACAAAUCAGCUUUGAGGAGCACUCGGCGGGAAGGAUUAUACACUUAAAGGCAACAACUUGGAAAAUUAUCCGUGUUCGGGAGCCGCUGACACGUUAGCGCUGCACCAGCGGCGGCAGCAGCAGCCUCCACCGCCAGGAUGUGACAGAGGAGGCAGGAAGAAGUACAAACUGAUGUGGUGAGAAGUGCCCGAGACAGAUAAACAGACAGAAGCACGGGCACAGACGCAGAGCUGAGUGGGAAGUGUAACGAAGAGGUCACGCGGUUGGUUUUAAAUAUCUCCUGUCAAUCACUCAUGGAACUGUGGGAUCUGUGCUGCCAAUUACACAGGAUCAAUAAGAUUUAGCAUUUACUGUAUGAGAUCUGUAUGAAUAAAUGGAUGACAAAGGCAACUAAGGAAGAAUGGAGGAGACAAAGAACAAAUAAAUCGAUUGUCUCACAUUUUUUACAGUAUUACGACAAAGACCAAAAUACUCUAUGUAUUUUAUUUGAUCCAGUGAUGAUUAUUACUGUCUGUUGAUCACGGAAUUCUAACAUAUUUUCCUCACAGGCUAUAAUUAUUUUUGUUGUAAAGACAGAAACCUGUGUGUUUCUUAAUAAGAUGACAGGGAGUUAAGUGAGUAACCAAAAAAAAGGAGUAAAAUCUUCUCAGUGAAUCUGAUAUUCUCCUCCGGCGGCUCUUUCCAACUGCAGAAGCUUCCACCACCUCCACGGUGUCACAGCCAAGGUGCCGUCGGAGCCCUCGUCACUGACAGAGCACUGUCCCGGGGCUGAUCUCCUGUCACGUCCCUGAACCUCCAGCUCCUUCGCGGCGGCGGGGCGAUGAAUAAAAAGGCAUCCGCUCAAACGCUGGCUCUUGUAGAAGUGACAGCGUCAUCAUUUGAAUGUGACCUGAGGGGUCCAACGUGCUGUAUUACAGAGCUGGGACGAGCGAGGGCACGCGGGAGAGAGCUGUCAACUUGAAAACGCGGGGUUGUCGAUAGUUGCGGGUUUGCGUGCGUGUCCAGUGUUCGUGUGAGCCGCGGCCCAGCGUGAACGUCAAGGCGCUCAGCAGGUUCCACGCCACUCGUCCAAACUACUUGAUAUAUAAAACAUGU
Long non-coding RNA from Betta splendens (Siamese fighting fish), 1569 nucleotides. RefSeq lists it as uncharacterized. The record is from RefSeq and is a predicted model, not a curated record. The transcript is spliced from 3 exons. NCBI's taxonomy places the organism in Eukaryota, Metazoa, Chordata, Actinopteri, Anabantiformes, Osphronemidae.